AGGGGAAUCAUCCAAUGGCAGGAUGACAGUCUCCAAAACUGUUCAUGGGGGUUCGAAUCCCUCUUCCCCUG
Molecule: transfer RNA, 71 nt
Filed under: Roseburia sp. CAG:303
Lineage: Bacteria; Bacillati; Bacillota; Clostridia; Lachnospirales; Lachnospiraceae
Also listed under: 3 other names
Rfam family: tRNA
About the family: Transfer RNA (tRNA) molecules are approximately 80 nucleotides in length. Their secondary structure includes four short double-helical elements and three loops (D, anti-codon, and T loops).
Source: Rfam by way of RNAcentral